This 423-nucleotide ribosomal RNA is filed under the name uncultured bacterium. RNAcentral's name for it is "bacterial SSU rRNA". It matches the Rfam family "Bacterial small subunit ribosomal RNA", at positions 207 to 622 of the family's 1533-position model. The record is from RNAcentral.
AAGACCUUGCGCUUUUGGAGCGGCCGAUGCCUGAUUAGCUUGUUGGUAAGGUAAAAGCUUACCAAGGCUCCGAUCAGUAGCUGGUCUGAGAGGACGACCAGCCACACUGGGACUGAGACACGGCCCAGACUCCUACGGGAGGCAGCAGUGGGGAAUUUUGGACAAUGGGGGCAACCCUGAUCCAGCCAUGCCGCGUGAGUGAAGAAGGCCUUCGGGUUGUAAAGCUCUUUCAGCCGGAACGAAACGGUUACGGAUAACACCCGUGACUACUGACGGUACCGGAAGAAGAAGCACCGGCUAACUACGUGCCAGCAGCCGCGGUAAUACGUAGGGUGCGAGCGUUAAUCGGAAUUACUGGGCGUAAAGCGUGCGCAGGUGGUUUUGUAAGUCAGAUGUGAAAGCCCCGGGCUCAACCUGGGAACU